AGAGUUUGAUCCUGGCUCAGAACGAACGCUUGCAGCGUGGAUUAGGCAUGCAAGUCGAACGGGAUCGGCCCGGUAGUAAUACUGGGCCGUGAGAGUGGCGGAAGGGCGAGGAGCACGUGGAUAACCUGUCCCGUGGGUGGGGAUACCGUCCCGAAAGGGGCGUUAAUACCGAAUGGGGCUUUCAGGCCGCAUGGUCUGAAAGCCAAAGGCGGGGACCGCACCGCCCCCCCCCCCGGGAGGGGUCCGCGCACCAUCAGCUAGACGGCGGGGUAACGGCCCACCGUGGCUUACGGUUAGCUGGUCUGAGAGGACGACCAGCCGCACUGGGACUGAGACACUGCCCACACUCCUACGGGAGGCUGCAGUCGAGGAUCAUUCGCAGUGGGCGGAAGCCUGACGAUGCGACGCUGCGUGGAGGAUGACCGCCCUCGGGUUGUAAACUCCUGUCACGGGGGGCGAGGCGGAGGCGGUGAACAGCCGCCCGAGUUGACGGUACCCCGAGAGGAAGCCACGGCUAACUCUGUGCCAGCAGCCGCGGUAAUACAGAGGUGGCGAGCGUUGUUCGUAUUUACUGGGCGUAAAGGGCGCGUAGGCGGCUUUUUAAUUUGGAUGUGAAAUUCCCGCGCUUAACCUGGAAGCCACAUCUUAAAACGGAAGUUGUGAGGGCUGGAGGGGAAUGGGGAAUUCCGGGUGUAGCGGUGAAAUGCUUAGUGUUUAGCAGGAACCCCAGUGGGGAGGCCGCCUUUUUGGACGAUAAUUACCGUUGAGCCUGAAAGGAGGGGGGACCUAAAAAGGUCCGUUCCCUUGUUGUUCCCCCCCGUGGCGCCCCUAAAGGGGGGGGGGGAUUCCCCCCCCCCCGUCCCGGAGCUAACGCGUUAAGCGUGCCGCCUGGGGAGUACGGCCGCAAAGGCUAAAACUCAAAGAAAUUGACGGGGGCCCGCACAAGCAGAGGGAGCAUGUGGCUUAAUUCGAUGCAACGCGAAGAACCUUACCCGGGUUUGACAUGCAGCUGCGCGUCCCGUGAAAGCGGGAUUCCUUCGAGGGUGCUGCACAGGUGCUGCAUGGCUGUCGUCAGUUCGUGCCGUGAGGUGUUUGGUUAAGUCCAGCAACGAACGCAACCCCUGUGUCCAGUUGCCAACAGGUAGUGCUGGGGACUCUGGACAGACCGCCCGUUCACGCGGGAGGAAGGUGGGGACGACGUCAAGUCAGUAUGGCCCUUACGCCCGGGGCUGCACACGUGCUACAAUGGCCGGUACAGAGGGAUGCGAGGCCGCGAGGCGGAGCCAACCCCCAAAACCGGCCCCAGUUCGGAUCGGGGUCUGCAACCCGACCCCGUGAAGUCGGAUUUGCUAGUAACGGCGCAUCAGCUACGGCGCCGUGAAUACGUUCCCGGGCCUUGCACACACCGCCCGUCA
This 1415-nucleotide ribosomal RNA is filed under the name uncultured bacterium. Its description in RNAcentral is "16S ribosomal RNA". It matches the Rfam family "Bacterial small subunit ribosomal RNA". The record is from RNAcentral.